Long non-coding RNA from Cornus florida, 817 nucleotides. RefSeq lists it as uncharacterized. The record is from RefSeq and is a predicted model, not a curated record. The transcript has 2 exons. NCBI's taxonomy places the organism in Eukaryota, Viridiplantae, Streptophyta, Magnoliopsida, Cornales, Cornaceae.
CGGGCCAGUCUCUCUCUUUCUCAUAAUGGCAGACCCUGGUUGUAAUGUUUAUAUUUUUAUAUAUUUCUAUAUAUGUCUAUUAAGAUAAUGGGUAGGAUUGUGAGUGGUGGAACCCACCCCCAAUUGUUUUCAAUUUCGUGGCCAAAGGGGGCAUACAACCUCUCAUUCUCUCUCUAUCUCCCGACAUGCUCUCCUCCUCCCUUCAGUGUUUUUUUUUUUUUUUUUUUUUUCUACUACAAAAACUUCAAUUUCUUCUUAUUUUUUGGUAUUUUUGAAUGCCGUUUACGACAAACUGAAGCUCACGGCGAGGUCUACAAGUUGAUAGGAGCAAUUCCAUGGUUGGUGCACUAUAGGAAAUUCGAAAUCUAGGGCAUAAAUUUGGAAAUUUUCAUAAUUUUGGAGGAAAUGGGAAUGAAGUGGCGGAUGACGUUUCACCACAAGCCUAAUUUGGAUUAGAAGACCAUUUUGCUAUCUAAAUCCUAUAUGUUUUUGUAAAACCUUAGUUUGUUAUAUUCGGUAUAGAGAUUGUGGACUCUUGUUAUUGUUAUUAUAUUUAUGGGUUGUAACUUUAGUAUAAGUUGUCUAAACGCUGUAAAACAUGAAUUUUAAAUCUUAACUAUAUAUUUUUGGGACUGCAAUUACGAUAAUUUGAUUAAAUGGUAUGUGAAUGUUCCACCAUGAGAUGAACUAUGUUGAUAUAUAAUGAAUGAAUAAAAGAGAUGCUGGAAUGUAUUAUAUGUUUUUUUUGUAUCAUGUGUUGGGAUAGCUUGGAUAAGUCUUGAACGGUCAGGAAGGGCUAUUGCAUUUUUUUUUUUUU